GAUGAACGCUGGCGGCGUGCCUAAUACAUGCAAGUCGAGCGAACAGACGAGGAGCUUGCUCCUCUGACGUUAGCGGCGGACGGGUGAGUAACACGUGGAUAACCUACCUAUAAGACUGGGAUAACUUCGGGAAACCGGAGCUAAUACCGGAUAAUAUAUUGAACCGCAUGGUUCAAUAGUGAAAGACGGUUUUGCUGUCACUUAUAGAUGGAUCCGCGCCGCAUUAGCUAGUUGGUAAGGUAACGGCUUACCAAGGCAACGAUGCGUAGCCGACCUGAGAGGGUGAACGGCCACACUGGAACUGAGACACGGUCCAGACUCCGACGGGAGGCAGCAGUAGGGAAUCUUCCGCAAUGGGCGAAAGCCUGACGGAGCAACGCCGCGUGAGUGAUGAAGGUCUUCGGAUCGUAAAACUCUGUUAUUAGGGAAGAACAAAUGUGUAAGUAACUAUGCACGUCUUGACGGUACCUAAACAGAAAGCCACGGCUAACUACGU
RNAcentral lists this ribosomal RNA (496 nucleotides) under uncultured bacterium. Its description in RNAcentral is "partial 16S ribosomal RNA". It matches the Rfam family "Bacterial small subunit ribosomal RNA", at positions 28 to 506 of the family's 1533-position model. The record is from RNAcentral.